This 460-nucleotide ribosomal RNA is filed under the name uncultured bacterium. RNAcentral's name for it is "partial 16S ribosomal RNA". It matches the Rfam family "Bacterial small subunit ribosomal RNA", at positions 338 to 795 of the family's 1533-position model. The record is from RNAcentral.
CCUACGGGUGGCAGCAGUGAGGAAUAUUGGUCAAUGGACGGAAGUCUGAACCAGCCAUGCCGCGUGCAGGAGGACGGCUCUAUGAGUUGUAAACUGCUUUUGUACAAGGGUAAACCUGCGUUCGUGUAUUCAGCUGCAAUUACUGUACGAAUCAGGAUAGGCUAACGCCGUGCCAGCAGCCGCGGUACUACGGAGGGUCCAAGCGUUAUCCGGAUUUAUUGGGUUUAAGGGGUGCGUAGGCGGAUUGAUAAGUUAGAGGUGAAAUGUCCGGGCUUAACUCGGGAACUGCCUCUAAUACUGGUGAUCGAGAGAGUAGAAGCGGUAGGCGGAAUGUAUGGUGUAGCGGUGAAAUGCGUAGAGAUCAUACAGAACACCGAGUGCGAAGGCAGCUUACCAAUCUAUAACUGACGCUGAGGCACGAAAGCGUGGGGAGCAAACAGGAUUAGAUACCCGAGUAGUC